RNAcentral lists this ribosomal RNA (485 nucleotides) under uncultured bacterium. Its description in RNAcentral is "bacterial SSU rRNA". It matches the Rfam family "Bacterial small subunit ribosomal RNA", at positions 21 to 507 of the family's 1533-position model. The record is from RNAcentral.
GGCUCAGGAUGAACGCUGGCGGCGUGCCUAACACAUGCAAGUCGAGCGAGAAUCUGUCGGAAGAAGCUUCGGUGGAAACUGACAGAGGAAAGCGGCGGACGGGUGAGUAACGCGUGAGUAACCUGCCCUUGAGAGGAGGAUAACACAUCGAAAGGUGUGCUAAUACUGCAUAACAUACAUUUGCCGCAUGACAGAUGUAUCAAAGAUUUAUCGCUCAAGGAUGGACUCGCGUCUGAUUAGAUAGUAGGUAGGGUAACGGCCUACCUAGUCUGCGAUCAGUAGCCGAACUGAGAGGUUGAUCGGCCACAUUGGGACUGAGACACGGCCCAGACUCCUACGGGAGGCAGCAGUGGGGAAUAUUGCGCAAUGGGGGAACCCUGACGCAGCAACGCCGCGUGAAGGAAGAAGGUCUUCGGAUUGUAAACUUUUGUCUUAUGGGACGAAAAAGGACGGUACCAUAGGAGGAAGCCACGGCUAACUACGUG